CACUCGCUUCACGCCGGCAACCAGACUGGGGUUCUCGGUCCGCGCCGCGCACUCAACAUGCGCAAAACGAAACGGCGCCAUCCAUUCGGGCUCCGAAUGGAAAGCGCUUGAACGCCACAGAGGACCACAAUCGAAACCGUGGUCAUGCAUCCGAGACUGAUCUUUGAAGGCGUGCGCAAAAGCGCGGUGGCCCGAGAGAUCAAUGUUGUCCUGGCAUUGCCUGGCUAGUNNNNNNNUCUGAGCGACAUUCGUCGAGGUUGGUGCCGAUCCAUCCGCAAAAGCGGGCUGAAAAGGUGAUCCGUUCCGACGCAGGGAAGCUCACCGCCUGUCGUGAAGUGGCCGGGUUUUAUAAGCCAUGCACACUCAAGUCAAGACUAAACGACAUGCGAAAAGAGCAAGCGCCAGAGCCACUUCUGACACACCGCAUGAAGCCGCGCAGUCGCCGAUUGUGACACGGCACGCG
This 463-nucleotide unclassified non-coding RNA is filed under the name Hevea brasiliensis (rubber tree). Lineage: Eukaryota; Viridiplantae; Streptophyta; Magnoliopsida; Malpighiales; Euphorbiaceae. The record is from RNAcentral.